This 365-nucleotide antisense RNA is filed under the name Candidatus Enterococcus dunnyi. Its description in RNAcentral is "Enterococcus sp. 9D6_DIV0238 Listeria sRNA rliD". The stretch from base 1 to 302 matches the Rfam family "Listeria sRNA rliD". Lineage: Bacteria; Bacillati; Bacillota; Bacilli; Lactobacillales; Enterococcaceae. The record is from Rfam by way of RNAcentral.
CUGUUAAUGGGAAAAAGUCAAAGUCUCUUGCGUCUUUCGAAGCAACUGCUGCAGUUAAGACAACAGUGUCGCCAUAGCGAACUAAAACAGCACCAUUUGCUUGUUUAGCUAAUUGACCGAUCUCGACUUGUAGCGGUCGUCCGCCCCAUGUUGUUUUGAAUACUUGUUUUUCUGACAUGUAUCGAUUCUCCUUUAUUCUUUGGAAAAGUCAGACAGCUACUAAACAAAUGAAAAGAUUCAAAAAUUUGAGUCCUUUUAUUUGGUUAGUAGAUUUAUGUAACCUUUCCAAAGAUCCGAUUAUUUUAGUAUUUUCAAGGAUACUGAACCUUUUUAAAUAGACUAAAAAGCCAAAAAUGGCGAGUCAG